This 500-nucleotide ribosomal RNA is filed under the name uncultured bacterium. Its description in RNAcentral is "partial 16S ribosomal RNA". It matches the Rfam family "Bacterial small subunit ribosomal RNA", at positions 30 to 523 of the family's 1533-position model. The record is from RNAcentral.
AUUGAACGCUGGCGGCAGGCCUAACACAUGCAAGUCGCGCGGUAGAGAGGUGCUUGCACCUCUUGAGAGCGGCGGACGGGUGAGUAAUGCCUAGGAAUCUGCCUGGUCGUGGGGGAUAACGCUCGGAAACGGACGCUAAUACCGCAUACGUCCUACGGGAGAAAGCAGGGGACCUUCGGGCCUUGCGCUAUCAGACGAGCCUAGGUCGGAUUAGCUAGUUGGUGAAGUAAUGGCUCACCAAGGCGACGAUCCGUAACUGGUCUGAGAGGAUGAUCAGUCACACUGGAACUGAGACACGGUCCAGACUCCUACGGGAGGCAGCAGUGGGGGAUAUUGGACAAUGGGCGAAAGCCUGAUCCAGCCAUGCCGCGUGUGUGAAGAAGGUCUUCGGAUUGUAAAGCACUUUAAGUUGGGAGGAAGGGUCGUUACCUAAUACGUGACGAUUUUGACGUUACCGACAGAAUAAGCACCGGCUAACUCUGUGCCAGCCGCCGCCGUAA